AUACGUAGGGUGCGAGCGUUGUCCGGAUUUAUUGGGCGUAAAGGGCUCGUAGGUGGUUGAUCGCGUCGGAAGUGUAAUCUUGGGGCUUAACCCUGAGCGUGCUUUCGAUACGGGUUGACUUGAGGAAGGUAGGGGAGAAUGGAAUUCCUGGUGGAGCGGUGGAAUGCGCAGAUAUCAGGAGGAACACCAGUGGCGAAGGCGGUUCUCUGGGCCUUUCCUGACGCUGAGGAGCGAAAGCGUGGGGAGCGAACAGGCUUAGAUACCCUGGUAGUCCACGCUGUAAACGGUGGGUACUAGGUGUGGGGUCCAUUCCACGGGUUCCGUGCCGUAGCUAACGCUUUAAGUACCCCGCCUGGGGAGUACGGCCGCAAGGCUAAAACUCAAAUGAAUUGACGGGG
This 398-nucleotide ribosomal RNA is filed under the name uncultured bacterium. RNAcentral's name for it is "partial 16S ribosomal RNA". It matches the Rfam family "Bacterial small subunit ribosomal RNA", at positions 523 to 918 of the family's 1533-position model. The record is from RNAcentral.